Molecule: ribosomal RNA, 2739 nt
Filed under: Staphylococcus aureus F89468
Lineage: Bacteria; Bacillati; Bacillota; Bacilli; Caryophanales; Staphylococcaceae
Also listed under: 1 other name
Description: bacterial LSU rRNA
Rfam family: Bacterial large subunit ribosomal RNA
Source: RNAcentral
ACCCGGAGAACUGAAACAUCUUAGUACCCGGAGGAAGAGAAAGAAAAUUCGAUUCCCUUAGUAGCGGCGAGCGAAACGGGAAGAGCCCAAACCAACAAGCUUGCUUGUUGGGGUUGUAGGACACUCUAUACGGAGUUACAAAGGACGACAUUAGACGAAUCAUCUGGAAAGAUGAAUCAAAGAAGGUAAUAAUCCUGUAGUCGAAAAUGUUGUCUCUCUUGAGUGGAUCCUGAGUACGACGGAGCACGUGAAAUUCCGUCGGAAUCUGGGAGGACCAUCUCCUAAGGCUAAAUACUCUCUAGUGACCGAUAGUGAACCAGUACCGUGAGGGAAAGGUGAAAAGCACCCCGGAAGGGGAGUGAAAUAGAACCUGAAACCGUGUGCUUACAAGUAGUCAGAGCCCGUUAAUGGGUGAUGGCGUGCCUUUUGUAGAAUGAACCGGCGAGUUACGAUUUGAUGCAAGGUUAAGCAGUAAAUGUGGAGCCGUAGCGAAAGCGAGUCUGAAUAGGGCGUUUAGUAUUUGGUCGUAGACCCGAAACCAGGUGAUCUACCCUUGGUCAGGUUGAAGUUCAGGUAACACUGAAUGGAGGACCGAACCGACUUACGUUGAAAAGUGAGCGGAUGAACUGAGGGUAGCGGAGAAAUUCCAAUCGAACCUGGAGAUAGCUGGUUCUCUCCGAAAUAGCUUUAGGGCUAGCCUCAAGUGAUGAUUAUUGGAGGUAGAGCACUGUUUGGACGAGGGGCCCCUCUCGGGUUACCGAAUUCAGACAAACUCCGAAUGCCAAUUAAUUUAACUUGGGAGUCAGAACAUGGGUGAUAAGGUCCGUGUUCGAAAGGGAAACAGCCCAGACCACCAGCUAAGGUCCCAAAAUAUAUGUUAAGUGGAAAAGGAUGUGGCGUUGCCCAGACAACUAGGAUGUUGGCUUAGAAGCAGCCAUCAUUUAAAGAGUGCGUAAUAGCUCACUAGUCGAGUGACACUGCGCCGAAAAUGUACCGGGGCUAAACAUAUUACCGAAGCUGUGGAUUGUCCUUUGGACAAUGGUAGGAGAGCGUUCUAAGGGCGUUGAAGCAUGAUCGUAAGGACAUGUGGAGCGCUUAGAAGUGAGAAUGCCGGUGUGAGUAGCGAAAGACGGGUGAGAAUCCCGUCCACCGAUUGACUAAGGUUUCCAGAGGAAGGCUCGUCCGCUCUGGGUUAGUCGGGUCCUAAGCUGAGGCCGACAGGCGUAGGCGAUGGAUAACAGGUUGAUAUUCCUGUACCACCUAUAAUCGUUUUAAUCGAUGGGGGGACGCAGUAGGAUAGGCGAAGCGUGCGAUUGGAUUGCACGUCUAAGCAGUAAGGCUGAGUAUUAGGCAAAUCCGGUACUCGUUAAGGCUGAGCUGUGAUGGGGAGAAGACAUUGAGUCUUCGAGUCGUUGAUUUCACACUGCCGAGAAAAGCCUCUAGAUAGAAAAUAGGUGCCCGUACCGCAAACCGACACAGGUAGUCAAGAUGAGAAUUCUAAGGUGAGCGAGCGAACUCUCGUUAAGGAACUCGGCAAAAUGACCCCGUAACUUCGGGAGAAGGGGUGCUCUUUAGGGUUAACGCCCAGAAGAGCCGCAGUGAAUAGGCCCAAGCGACUGUUUAUCAAAAACACAGGUCUCUGCUAAACCGUAAGGUGAUGUAUAGGGGCUGACGCCUGCCCGGUGCUGGAAGGUUAAGAGGAGUGGUUAGCUUCUGCGAAGCUACGAAUCGAAGCCCCAGUAAACGGCGGCCGUAACUAUAACGGUCCUAAGGUAGCGAAAUUCCUUGUCGGGUAAGUUCCGACCCGCACGAAAGGCGUAACGAUUUGGGCACUGUCUCAACGAGAGACUCGGUGAAAUCAUAGUACCUGUGAAGAUGCAGGUUACCCGCGACAGGACGGAAAGACCCCGUGGAGCUUUACUGUAGCCUGAUAUUGAAAUUCGGCACAGCUUGUACAGGAUAGGUAGGAGCCUUUGAAACGUGAGCGCUAGCUUACGUGGAGGCGCUGGUGGGAUACUACCCUAGCUGUGUUGGCUUUCUAACCCGCACCACUUAUCGUGGUGGGAGACAGUGUCAGGCGGGCAGUUUGACUGGGGCGGUCGCCUCCUAAAAGGUAACGGAGGCGCUCAAAGGUUCCCUCAGAAUGGUUGGAAAUCAUUCAUAGAGUGUAAAGGCAUAAGGGAGCUUGACUGCGAGACCUACAAGUCGAGCAGGGUCGAAAGACGGACUUAGUGAUCCGGUGGUUCCGCAUGGAAGGGCCAUCGCUCAACGGAUAAAAGCUACCCCGGGGAUAACAGGCUUAUCUCCCCCAAGAGUUCACAUCGACGGGGAGGUUUGGCACCUCGAUGUCGGCUCAUCGCAUCCUGGGGCUGUAGUCGGUCCCAAGGGUUGGGCUGUUCGCCCAUUAAAGCGGUACGCGAGCUGGGUUCAGAACGUCGUGAGACAGUUCGGUCCCUAUCCGUCGUGGGCGUAGGAAAUUUGAGAGGAGCUGUCCUUAGUACGAGAGGACCGGGAUGGACAUACCUCUGGUGUACCAGUUGUCGUGCCAACGGCAUAGCUGGGUAGCUAUGUGUGGACGGGAUAAGUGCUGAAAGCAUCUAAGCAUGAAGCCCCCCUCAAGAUGAGAUUUCCCAACUUCGGUUAUAAGAUCCCUCAAAGAUGAUGAGGUUAAUAGGUUCGAGGUGGAAGCAUGGUGACAUGUGGAGCUGACGAAUACUAAUCGAUCGAAGACUUAAUCAA